GAUCAGGAUUCCCAAUUGGGUUGGACUCACGCCUCGUCUCGCGCCUCUUCGGAUCCCCAAAUCCCGGUUCCCGCUUCCGUCGCCCGAUCAGGAUCAACCAUCCAUCGGUUGGAUUCCGAUCGAAUGGUUUUUCCGAUGUUUAUGGAGGAAUUGUUCCGGAUCGAGAAGAUGAAGCUGAGAUUUCUGCGCACCCUGCAGCUCAUGGGAUGCAAGCCUCGCCUUGCUUUCGAGUCAUCUCUGAGGCCUAGUGAUGCUAAUGGUACCAGUAGCACUGGAAGCAUUGAUGAUUUUAAGGGGGACUGCGUUAACAAUGUUACCAGAUAAGUCCUUUCCAGUUGUGGCUGUCCGGGUAUAUCAUCAGGACCUGCAUAAGAGGUAUGAAGAGUAUGGAAGUUCCAAGCAGAGUAGCAUGGAAAUUCCUUGAAUAAAAUUGUGAGCUAAGCUGAACCCAAUUGGUGCAAGAGGUUGUUCAGGUGGUGGAUCAGGCAUUUCUGGGAUCAAUGGAAGAUGUGAAUGAUGGACUACGAUUGAUGGCUACUAGCUAAAUUCUGGUAGCUGAUGUUGCAGCCAUGAGAGAUGAACUUCAUCUCCCAAUGGUUUGAAGUAUAUUUGUUGGUUCCAACUUGUUUGUAGGCCAUCCUAAUUGUAAAUUAAUGUCGUGAUUUGCAAGAGGAUUUGCUGCUAAUCCCAAAGGCAACAAGAUAUCUGUUAAUGGAAAACCGGGUGACAUUACCAUGGCUGGACAGUCUCUAGGUCUUGUCUUCGGAUUGCAUGUCAGCAUGCAGGAACAUGUCCAAGAAGAAUUAGCUGGGCUUAUCCGUUGCUUGAAAUAUAAAAAGCAUGUACAGUAUAUUGAUACAGGAUUUUUUGCAUUUGCAGCAUCUCUGCAAACGGAUUCUCUCUUUUUAUUACCACUGUUUUCUGUCUGUGACAUUUUGAUUGUUUUUGCACAUUAUAUAGUUAGCUAAUCUUGUUCAACGAUGGCAUCUCCUGUCUACCUCAUGUUCUAGCUAAUCUUCAGUGCCCGACAGUGAAGAAGAGAUUGAUGAGGAACGAGAUUAUGAUCAAAAGUGACGUUUGAUGAGGAGAUUGCUGAGAAGGUAAGAAACAGAAACUUGAGCUGAAAAUUGCUGUUGACUUUUAGAAAGAAAAGUGGUAUCUUGUUGGCCUAGUGGAAUUAUUAAGCCUAGGUAAUACUGUGGGAUCACCACCCUCUAUUAUUCUCAAAAGAAAAAGGAAAGAAGAAGAAUAAGAAGAAAAGACACGAAGAUAGUCACUUCAUGAAAACUUCUCUAGACUACAUUUUGUAUUAGGCAUAUUGUAGCUCAAUAACAUAAACACUAGUCUUGUUAUUCAGAGCCAUCCAUGUAGAUUGCGUAGAUUAAAUGACUGCUUAUGGACUGGUCGAAUAUUUCCUGUUGAUGCAAGUGACCAUGAAAUGCGUUGCUCUAAUAUUUUGACUAUGACCACAUUAAAUAAUAAGGCAUUAUGUAUGACUAUGAUCUUAGAAGCAUGCUAAAUUUCUGGUUUUUGUGAUUUUUCCAUGUCAGCUAGGCAGCCGAUAACUUGAACAGUUGGUUGUAGCCAAUUUCUCAUUUUGUAGUGAAGUGUUUGUCAACUGAUGCAUAUCAUAUGGUCUAACUUGUAUUUUUGUUUUCCUUGGUCUUUGCUUGGUUUGCUCAACCAAUGAGAUCAUUGCAACUAGAAUACUGUGGUAUGAAUACAUACCGAAUUUCUCUAUUUCUGCAUCACGCAUAUGGCGCAAUCAAGUCCCACAGAAAGUACUCGUCCGGAUUGCAGGAAGCAGGCGUUAUAUGCUGCAAAAGGGAUUUGAAUCAACGACACCUUUGAAAGGCAUCCGAAUGGUGGACAAUGGUAAGGAGGUCGUUCUAAUUGCUGUAGAUGUGACUUGGAAAUGUUGGACCACAUCAAUCGAUAAAUUGAAUUGAUCAAGAAACCAGAAUUGAAUGAGCCCAAUCUGAUCAUUUCAGUUUU
This is a long non-coding RNA of Musa acuminata AAA Group (dessert banana), 1995 nucleotides long. RefSeq lists it as uncharacterized. The record is from RefSeq and is a predicted model, not a curated record. Lineage: Eukaryota; Viridiplantae; Streptophyta; Magnoliopsida; Zingiberales; Musaceae. The transcript is spliced from 3 exons.